Long non-coding RNA from Peromyscus californicus insignis, 15140 nucleotides. RefSeq lists it as uncharacterized. Lineage: Eukaryota; Metazoa; Chordata; Mammalia; Rodentia; Cricetidae. The record is from RefSeq and is a predicted model, not a curated record. The transcript has 2 exons.
UCUCGAUCUGUAGACCAGGCUGGCCUUGAACUCACAGAGAUCUGCCUGCCUCUGCCUCCCAAGUGCUGGGAUUAAAGGCGUGCGCCACCACCACCCGGCUGAAAUAUUUUCUAAUUUCUCCUUUAACCAAUAACUUACUUAGAAGCAUUUUGUUUAAUUCACAAGUACAGUCCUUGUUUGUUAUCCACAGGAAAUUGGUUCCAGGACCCUCUAUGGAUAGGAAAAUCAUGGAUGCUGAAGUCCCUUAUACAAAGAUGGAGCUCAGUUGGUAGAGUGUUUCCCCAGCAUUCAAAGUCCUGGGUUCCAUCCCCAGCACUGUGUAAAUGGGGCCGGGUGGUAUACACCUAUAAUCCCAGUACUUGAAGCAUAGAAGCAAGAAGAUCAGAAAUUUAAGGUUUUCCUCAGCUAUGUAGUUGAAUUUGGAGCCAAUCUGGAGUACAUGAUACCCUGUCUCAAAAAAAAAAAAAUGCCCAUGUAUAAAAUGGCACAAAUCAGCAUAUAAUGUAUGCACAUCAUCCUUUACAAUAUUUUUUACCAUGAGGAAUUGACUUUUAUAGGCAGACUUUCUCUGACCCUCCAGUCAGCUCUGUCCUACCAGCUGCCUCCCCAAAUAACCACACAGAGACUUAUUAUUAAUUAUUUGGUCAAUAGCUUAGGCUUGUUACUAACUAGUUAUUUCAACUUAAAUUAACCCAUAUUUCUUAUGGGUUACUCUAUCACAUGGCAGUACCUUUUUUCAGUACAGCAUGUUCAUCUGCUUCCUCUGAGCCUGGCUGGUGACGCCGCCUUUCUUCCAGCGUUCUCCCAGUUUGGCUCUCUCCCUAACCUCUUCCUGCCUAGCUAUUGGACAGUUAGUAUUAAACCAAUGAGAUCAAUACAUAUGCACAGUGUACAAAAGAAUUAUUCCACAGACUUUAUUAUUAUUUUGUUUGGUUGAUUGGUUGGUUGGUUGGUUGGUUGGUUGGUUUUUCAAGACAAGGUUUCUCUGUGUAGCCCUGGCUGUCCUGAAACUCUUUCUGUAGACCAGGCUGGCCUCAAACUCAAAUCUGCCUACCUCUGCAUCCCAAGUAGUGCGAUUAAAGGCAUGUGCCACCACUGCCUGGCUGACUUUAUUGUUUUAAUUAACAAUCUGCAUUUUUCUUUUUGUUGUUUUAUUCCUUGGCAGUUUCAUACAUGUUUAUAAUGUAAUUUUGUCAUUUCACCCACAUUUCCCUCUAUUCUGCCUCCCACUGCUGCUGAACUCCUUCUUCCCAUGAAGUUCUUCUGUGACUUCCUUCUUUUAAAAAAAGCAGGAAAGGUUUACAAAGCCAAAGUGAAAGUAGUCUUGACAGGGGAGGGAACCCAGAGUAGAAUCCUGCCCUGCUACUGUAGCUGGAAUUUUCUCCAGUCCCACUGGGCCCCCCGCAGUUCCGCAGCCCACUUAUAAAAUAAUCACUCAGAAGCUUAUAUUAAUUAAAAUUGCUCAGCCAUUAGCUCAAGCUAACUAUUGACUAGCUCUUACAUCUUAAAUUAACCCAUUUCUAUUAAUCUAUAAGUUGCCAUGUGGCUUGUGACCAGUACUUUUAUGUCUUGCUUCCUCUGUGUCUGGCUGGUGACUCCUGACUCAGCCUUCCUGUUCCCAGAAUUCUCUUUUCUGCUUGUCCUGCCUAUACUUCCUGCCUGGCUAUUGGCCAAUCAGCAUUUUAUUUAUCAAUCAAUCAGAGCAACACAUUCAUAGCAUCCCCAGCAUGCUACUUUCUUGUCUUGCUUUUUGUUUUGUUUUGUUGGCUUUUUAUGCCCCACUGGGCUUACUGAGGAUUGCCUGCAUGAGCACUGGUGAAAGUUAUUUUCUGUUCCAUGGGUAACUUAGCAGUGCUCCUUUACAACUGAAACCAUCUUUAAAUUGCUUAUGUUACUAGUACAAUGUAAAUGCUAUAAAAUACUAUUUACAUUGUGUUAUUUAGAGAAUAAUAGCAAGGAGGGAAAUUUGUAUCUAGUAUAUAUGGAAUUAGAAAAAUAUUUUUUAAUAAUUUAUUUAAAUUUAUUUCAUGUGCAUUGUGUGAGGGUGUCAGGUCCCCUGAUCUGGAGUUACAGACAGUCAUGUGCUGCCAUGUGGGUGCUGGGAAUUGAACCCUGGCCCUCUGGAAGCGCAGACAGUGCUCUUAACCUCUGAGCCAUCUCUCCAGCCCCAGAAAAAUAUUUUCUAAGCACAGACGCUACAGGCUGUAAGUCUGUUGGGCUUGCCCACCUUUCUGAGUCCAAGACAUAAGUUCUCCUUUUCUGUCUCUUUCUUUUGAACGCUGGCCAGAGCCUACAUAAGCUUUUUUCUGGUACUUUGUGCUCCCUUAGUUUUUCUCUAAGGCUCCCCUUCUGGCUGAGUGGCUAUCUGUCCACCAUAUGGUUGACCUCCAUGUCAGCUUAACUCAACUGAAAUAGCUAAUUUUCCUUCUCUUCUCUCUUCUCCUCUGUGCAGCUGAUAAGAUUUAUUGCUUGCCUGCCCUGAAUUUUUUUAAACUCUAACACAAUUAUAUUAUAAAAUUAUCCUCAAGCUUCAAAAGAAAUAUUGGUUGGUUGAUUGGAUCCAUAGAUAUGGAACUAUGAAUACAGAAGGCCAACUAUAACAUUUUACAGAUUAUCUUUUUGCUAUUGGUUUUUCAUGUGAUUCCAUUGUAGUGACAGUUUAUUAAUUUCUUCUGAAUUUAUUGAGACUUGUUUUAAGGUCUAGCAUAUGGUUAGCUUUGCAAUGUGCCCUGUGUGUUCCAUAUUCUGUAGUUAAGUACAGAGUUCUGUGUCAAGGAGGUCAAAGUACUUGUUAGUGCAAUACAAGUCUCAAUACCCUCAAUGAUUUCCCAUCUCCCCAUUCUUGUCUUGCCGACUCAGAAAGUUAUUGCAAUGUUCAACUGUAAUAAUGGAUUCAUGUUUCUUUCUUCAGCUCUGUCAGAUUUUGUUGUAGGUAUUUUGAAGCUGUCAUUGAAUACAUUUAUUCUUAAUUUACCUUUUUAUUCUUAUGAAGUACCCUUCUGUCACUAGUAAUGUCCCUUCAGAAGUUGGCUUUAUCUGGCAUGAAUAUAGCCACUCUAGCUUUCUUAGACAUAGGUUUUUUUCAUGGUAUAACUUUUUCCAUAUUUUAAUGUAUUUGUGUCUUAUAUUUAAAACCAUUUAUGGCCAAGCAUGGUGGCUCACACCUGCAAUCUCAACACUUGAGAGGUUGAGGAAGAAUGAUUGCCAUCAGUUCAAGGUGAGGCUAGGCUACAAGUGUGAGACUUGUCUCUAAAAAAAAAAAAAAAAAACAAAGAAAAAACAGCCAGAGAGAUGGCUCAGUGGUUAUUCUUCCAGUGAACAAGGGUUCAAUUCUAAGGGAUCACAACAUCUUUAACUCCAGUCCCAGGGGAUCAAAUGCCUUCUUCUGGCCUCUGAAGGCACCAGGCCUGCAUGAGGAUACAUGGACAAACAUGUAGGCAAAACACCCAUACACUUAAAAUCAAAUUAAAAAAUAUUUAAGCCAAGCAUUAGAGUUGGAUGCAGGGGGAUCAGUGUUACCACUCUAGAGGCAGUGGGACCUAGGAGAAUGGAGCAGAUAAACAGAUAAAUGGGGUGGACUAAAGUCUUAUGCAAUAGCCAACUUUAUUCAGAGCCUCCAACAAUUUAUACUCAGAAUUAAGAAAGGUCACUUGGAGUAAAGUUCUCAAGAAUUCAAAUUGUAUACAAUCACAAGCACACAUGGCAAAACGUGUUUCUCCAUAGAGGCAUGUAAAGGAUAGUUUAUAAACAUUUAAUUGAAUAACAUCAGCAAGCAAUAAUGAGUAAUCUGCACUGGGCGGUGGUGGCGCACGCCUUUAAUCCCAGCACUCAGGAGGCAGAGGCAGGCAGAUCUCUGUGAGUUCCAGGAAAGGCUCCUGUAGACGAAUUUCUAAACAGUCUUAUUAAAUACGAAACACAGAGCCAAAUACAGAGGUAAUAGCCAAAGAGAUCAGAGUGAAUAGCCACAACUAGCCUUAGCUUACCACCAGCAGUAGCUUCCACAGAGAGAGUUUCUUUGUGUCUGACCUGUCUUUUUAUUGCCUUCCUGUUCUGCCUUCUCAUUGGCUCUAAGCCCAGCCACAUGACUUCCUCGUGACUGCCUGUCUAUACAGACCUCCAGGUGUCUAUGGUUGAUACUGGGAUUAAAGGCUCAGGUCACCAUGCUUGCUGUGUCCUUGAACACACAGAGAAUCUCCUUGCUGUGUGAUCAUAUUAAGGGCACGUGCUACCACCACCUGACUUCUGUUUAUGGCUCACUUUCCCCCCGAUCUCCAGGCAAACUUUAUUUAUUAACAUACAAAUAAAAUACCACAUUUCAGCACAAAUAAAAUAUCACCACAUUUCCCCUUUUUAUUCUAAUAAAAAGAAAAAAGUUAUAACUAAUAUAAGAGAAACUAUAUACAAUAAGUACAAUAACUAUAUACAAUAUAUACAAGCAAUAAAUACCUCAACAAUGUCUAGUCCAUUUGCUUUUGACAAACUCAGAGAAAAUAUUCCAUUAUCUAUCCUAUUUUGGUAAGUCCAAAAUGUACCUGAUUGCCCUGGCAGGACUGGAGAAAACUCCAGCUACAGGCUCCAAAGCCACACAGAGAAACCCUGUCUCAAAAAACACCCCCCAAAAAGAAUGAGUGAUCUGAAGUAAACUCUUCAGUGCUACACCUGGGAGGAGCACGAAACCACAUUCUAAGAACAAUUCCAUGCUUUGAAGAAACUGAGGUCACAAGACUCUUGUUUUCUUGGAGUAUUGUCACAAGCACUCAGAAUUCUACUCACAGUCCAUCCCUGGACUGUGUUCGGAUAUAUCAGGAGUUCGAGGUCAGCCUAAACUGCAUAGAUAACCCUUGACUCAAAAAACAUAAUAGCCAGGCGUGGUGGUGCAUUGCUUUAAUCCCUGCACUUAGGAGGCAGUGGCAGGAGGAUCUCUUUGAGUUGGAGUUCCAGGACAACCAAGAACAAUGAAAUAAAAUAGUAACAAAAAAGACAAAAAAACAGAGCUAUUGAGAUGGCUCAGCAGGUAAGCUCCUUGCCACCAAGGCUAACAACCUAAGUUUGGUCCCUGGGAUGCAUAUGGUAAAGGAAAAAAGCAAACCCUACAACUUGUCCUCUGACCUUCACAAGUAUGCUGUGGAACACUAAUAUACACGCUCAUACACACACACACACACACACACACACACACACACACACACCAAAUAAACGUAAUUUUAAAAAUACAUAGAUACAUAUAUAUAUAUAUCAUAUAUAUAUAUUUAUAUAUGCUUAAAAGGAAGGGAAUGAAGAUCAUUCAUGGGCGAAGAGUUAGCUCACUGAUGGAACACUUGCCCACCGCCCAUGAGAUUCAGAAAGGGUCUCACAUAUAGCCCAGGUUGGCCUCCCCACUCUGAUUCCCCUGCCUUCUGAGUGCUGGGAUUGUAGGCCUUCACUAACAGGCCCAACCAUAUUAACUAUGUUUGACCCUGUUUAACUUCAUUUUUUUUGGACACAGGGUUUCUCUGUGUAGUCCUGGCUGUCCUGGAACCUACUCUGUAGACCAGGCUGGCCUCAAACUCAGAGAUCUGCCUGCCUCUGCCUCCUGAGUGAUGGAACUAAAGAUAUACACCACCAUUGCUGGGCUUCAGCUUGUUUGCUUAUACAACUCAUGACUACCUGCCUAGUGGUGGAAUCAAUCAACAAUCAAGAAAAUGCCCCCACAGGCCAAUCCAAUCAAGGCAAUGCCCCAAUUGAAACUCCCUCAGAUAACUCGUGUCAAACUCAUAGCGGAAGCUAGCUGAGAAACCUGAUUUAUUUAUUUAUUUAUUUUUUAUUUAAUUUUUUUUUUUUUUUGGUUUUUUCGAGACAGGGUUUCUCUGUGUAGCUUUGCGCCUUUCCUGGAACUCACUUUGGAGACCAGGCUGGCCUCGAACUCACAGAGAUCCGCCUGCCUCUGCCUCCCAAGUGCUGGGAUUAAAGGCGUGCGCCACCACCACCCAGCGAAACCUGGUUUAUUAUACCCUGAGUUCUUUAAGUGUCUGAAUAGCGAGAACCUUCCACAAAAACACACUCUGGUACUCAAAUUUAUUUUAAAUCCCAAAGAUAGUUGUAUUUUGAAGUCUGCUUUCACUUACAUUUCCCCUCAUAUAUAUUCUUUCUAGGACUUUCCAUUGAAUGAAAAAAAAGAAAAGAAAGGGACAUGAAUGCUCCUACGUAUGUUGGAGGAGAAAGCUUAUUAUAAAUUUGUGGGAGAGCAUAACCAGGGGUAGGGACAUCUGGGAGAGUACUGAGUGGACAUGGCCAGACUGAGCUGGGCCAUGUGAGAAGAGGAAGGAGGGAAAACAGGUACAACAGCCGGGAGACCCAAAAAAUUACUAGACAAGAAAGAAUGACCAGAUAACCAAAAUGUCUGGAUUAUAUAGGGAAGGGCAGCUAGGGGAAGGGCAGCCCAGUACAGCUCCUGGACUAGAGAAUUCAGGGUAGGGAGCAGGGUAUGCCAGCCAGGAGAGUCCUGUAACUGGUAGGGUCUGAGGGAUGCAGGGAGAACCUGGCAGCCAACAUCAGCUUUGAUGCAUUAAAUAGUCACCUCAAUCUUUGGCCCAGGUUUGAAACCUGACAUCCAUGACUCCUUGCACACCUAUUCUUUCAUCUAAGACCUGCCUCUCCUUCUCCUCCUUCUCCUUGUCCUUCACGGUCUCAAAUUACUUUAUUUCCUGGCAGAAAAUAAAGUUAAGAAAAUAACCAGAUGAUCAUAUUAGAAAUAUUGAAGCUGCUUUAUAAUAACCACUUCAUGAGAAUGACACCCAUUCUCAGCAAUUUUAAGGACACUGCAAACAGUACUCUGAAUCUUUAAAGGCAUUUGUCACCAAGCCUGUCUGUAUAGCUAGAGUUUUCCUGCCUGGCCCACAGUCAGGACAAAUCUCUCUCACCUGCCAGUCCCACAGCCGCUCAGACCCAACCAAAUAAACACAGAGACUUAUAUUGCUUACAAACUGUAUGGCCAUGACAGGCUUCUUGCUAACUGUUCUUACAGCUUAAAUUAAUCCAUUUCCAGCUUGGUAUAUUUGGGAAUUUGGGCGUAGCUUCUCUUACUACUUCCUGCUGGAGGGGGGCACUGUAUCUUAUGGGGACACAAAGAAAAUUUUAGGAUUAUGGAGUAGUCCAUGAGGCUGUAUUGUCUGAGCCAGUUGCCUUCAAACCAUUCUGGAUGUUGGAUCAUCUGGGCCAUGGUGUCAUCGGAGACCUUCGGGGUCUUGGCUGGUCAAACUUGAUGUAUCUUAAUCUGGAACAAAUCCAUAGCCUCUUGCUUUCUGUGGAAACAAAAGCAGAGCUUCCUUUGCAAAGCAACGUAUCCUUACAUCCAAAUUUUGAAGUCAAGGUACCUUUAAAAUAUACAUUUUGGCAUAACUCAACAGCUUUUAUAAUCAAAUGUUUUUCUUCAGUUACAAAUAUCAAAGACAACAUAAUCCAGAUUCUCUGUGUGGUAGCCAUCUUUACGUGGCUUAUUUUUUAUAUUACCUUGAGCCUAUUGCUUUAAACUGCAGCAUUUUAAGACUGAAACGGCACUGUGGCUGCUGGCUCCGCCCACUUCAGCUUCCCAACAUGGCGGUGGUAUGUUUUCCAACAGCUCUGGGAGCCAUCAACUCUCAGAAAUAGUGGGUCUAUGCUUCUAUCAAAGCAGCAUGUAGCCCAGAAACCUCUUUUUUUUUUGUUUUGUACUAGCAAAGGCUAAAUCCACCACACAGCUUAAUGUGCCACUUGUAGAGGCCUCAUUCCCACCAUAUUGCAGGUCGAGCACGCACACCAGGAACCCGCCAUAGUAGCUCAAACAUGCAGGCUGCCACUAACUUGAGAGAAACAACUAGGAACUGUUUUUAGCUCCGUUUUAGAAUCUUUUUUGUCAGGUUUUAGGUGGAAACUCUUGCCAAUACGUUGGACGCCAUUUGUAGCUAGAGUUUUGUAGCCUGGCCCACAGGACAAAUCUCUGUCACCUGCCAGUCCCACAGCCGCUCAGACCCAACCAAGUAAACACAGAGACUUAUAUUGCUUACAAACUGUAUGGCCAUGGCAGGCUUCUUGCUAACUGUUCUUACAGCUUAAAUUAAUCCAUUUCUAUAAAUCUAUACCUUGCCACGUGGCUCGUGGCUUACUGGCAUCUUCACAUGCUGUUUGUCAUGGCGGCGGCUGGCAGUAACUCCCUUUCCCUUCCUGUUCCCUUAAUUCUCCUCUCUGUUAGUCCUGCCUACACUUCCUGCCUGGCCACUGGCCAAUCAGUGGUCUAUUUAUUGACCAAUCAGAGUAAUUUGAUAUACAGACCAUCCCACAGCAUGUCUGCUGUGGAAUAAUCCUUCUAUACACACUGUGAAGAUUUGUCACUCAAAUUGGUUUAAUAAAAAGCUGGCCUGGAACAUGCUAUCUAGGCCAAGCUGGGCUCGAACUCACAGAGAUCCUCCUGCUUCUGCCUCUGCCUCCCCAGUACUAGGAUAAAAGGCCUUUCCCACCAUGCCUGGUCCUUUUGUAGACUUUUAAAGGAGAGGUUUUCUAACAUUAGCAGUUUGGAGAAGGCCCUAAAUAGGCUGUAAGACUUUGACUCAGGUUGCCUUGGACCUGGGCAGCAGGAAGCUGAUCCUAUUAUCUUGUCCUACCCUGGGGCUGUUAAGUGCUAGGAAUCUAGCAGUUUAGAGAAGGCACUAGAUAGGAUAUAAAACUGUAGCUCUGAUUGGCUUGGGCCCAAGAUGAGAGAGAAACUGCAGAAGGUGGUGGCUAAUUGCCCUACAGUGGUAGAUCUAAUAGCUGGGAUUACAGUCCUGCAACAUCAGACCUAGUUUGAACACCCUACCUUUUAAUCGUAACUCCCAGGUACCCUGUUUUCCCUUCCAACCAGAGUCGUCACUAAUCUUUCUGUCAAUGUAGAUUUACUCAAGUGUGAAGGCUAGGGAUGUAGCACCAUUGGUAGAGUGCUUACCUAGCGUUCAGGACUUUGAGUUCAUUCCUCAGCACCACAUAAACUGGUGUAUACCUAUAAACUGGUGCAUACCUAUCUUAGUACUUACAGGAUAUACAUGAAAUAUCUUGCAGUUCUUUCAAACUAGCUCCAAAGUGGCAGCACACAUGUGAUUAUAAUGCCUUUGGAUUAUGCCCAUUCUAGUGGGUAUGUUAUUAUUGUUUAGUUUUUGUUUGUUUAGUUGGCUAUUGAUAUCUUUUAAGGUUUUAAAACAAGAUCUCACUGUUUUGCCCAGGAUAGCCUCAAACUCUUGGGUUUAAGGGUUAGAGAGAGAUCACAGCAAUUAAGAGACCCUGCUACACUUCCAGAGAACCUGACUUUGGAUCCCAGCAUCCAUAUCAGGCUACUUACAACCACAUAUAACUCCAAGGAAUCUGACACCUUCUUCUGGUUUCUUAGCUACCUAUAUACCGGUGGCAUAUACUCACACAGAUAGAAAAAUAACAAGUGAAUAAAUAAAUACUCUUGGGUUCAGGGUUGGGGAUUUAGCUCAGUGGUAGAGCACUUGCCUAGCAAGCACAAGGUCCUGGGUUCGGUCCUCAGCUCUGAAAAAGAAAAGAAAAGAAAAUACUCUUGGGUUCAAGCAAUCCUCUUGCUUCUACCUAUGGAAUACCAGGAACUACAGUACAUGCUUCCAUGCCCAGCUACUUCCUGUUUUUGGUUUUCUUUUUUUUUUUUCAUUCUGUUUUGGAUUGGUUUUUGCUUUUUUGAGACAGAGUCUCACUAUGUAGCCCUGGUUGUUCUGGAACUCACUAUGUAGACCAGGCUGGUCUCCAACUCACAGAGAUCCACCUGUCUCUGCCUCCCAAAUCCUGGGAUUAAAGGCAUAUUCCACCGUACCUGGCCAUACCAUACUGGCCAUACUUGUAGUUUUGCAUUUCCUUCCUGAGCAUCUUUGCAUAUAUGGGAUCAUUUUUCUUUAGCUUGAAGAAUGACUUGUAGUGUUGCUUAUUUUAGUCAUGUGUGGCACAUACCUCUCAUCCCAACACUCGGGAGGCAGAGGCAGAAGGAUCACUGCAGUUUAAUUGCAGUCUUGUCUGUAAGGUGAGUUCCAGACCAACCAGGGCUAUAUAGCAAGACCCUGUCUCAAAAGAAGUUUUUUUCUUGAGCUGGCAAGAUGACUCAGAAGGUAAAAGUGUUUGUCAUAUUGUCUGAUGACUUGAGUUUGAUCUCCAGAUCAAACUGUUUGAUCCCACAGUGGAAGGAAAGAACUGAUUCCCAAAGGUUGUCCUCUGACCUUCACAUGUGUACCAUGACAGAAGCAUACACACCCAUCACCCUCACACACAAAUUAAAUAAAUAAGUAAAUAAAUAAUAAUAAAGCAUUUGAGCCAGGUGUGUUGGAGUAGAGCUUUAAUCCUAGCACUUUGGAGGCAGAGGUAAAUCUUUGAAUUUAAGACGAGCUUGGUCUACAUAGUUUCAGGACAGCCAGGGCUACACAGACUGUCCCAAAAAAGAAAAAGAAGGGCUGAAAAGAUGGCUCAGUGGUUGAGAGCACUGGCUGCUCUUUCAGAGGAUCCAUUCAGAACCCACAUGACAGCUCACAACCAUCUGUAACUCCAGUUCCAGGGGAUCUGAAGUCCUCGCACAGACAUACAUGUAGGCAAAAUACCAACGUACAUGAAAAUGAACAAAUCCUUUAAAAAAGAAAAGAAAAAUUUAAAACUGAGCAGCUAAAUUAAAUAUCUUUAAUUUUUUUCUUAUUUUAUAGGAAGACUGGCAAUAUGUUAACCCCAACAACUGUGUGAAAAUGUAUUUAAUUUACUAACUUUUUUUGUUGUUUUUGUUUUUAUUUGAGAUGGGGUCUCAAGUAACUUAAUCUGGCUUUGUACUACUUAGAUAGUGGAGGCUGACCUUGAACUCCUGAACCUUCUGCUCCAGCCUUUGGAGUGCCAAGAUUAUAAGUGUGAGUCACAGUAAUCUUGCCUUCAUUUUUUAAAGGGUAUUUUACUGGGUCUUUUGGCAGUUUUUCACCAUAUUUAAAGACUUAUAUUACCUUCUGCUGUGGGAUGGUCUGUAUGUCAAAUUGUUCUGAUUGGUCAAUAAAUAAAACACUGAUUGGCCAGUGGCCAGGCAGGAAGUAUAGGCGGGACUAACACAGAGGAGAAUUAAGAGAACAGGAAGGGAAAGGGAGUCACUGCCAGCUGCCGCCAUGACAAACAGCGUGUGAAGAUGCCGGUAAGCCACAAGCCACGUGGCAAGGUAUAGAUUUAUAGAAAUGGAUUAAUUUAAGUUGUAAGAACAGUUAGCAAGAAGCCUGCCACGGCCAUACAGUUUGUAACCAAUAGAAGUCUCUGUGUUUACUUGGUUGGGUCUGAGCAGCUGUGGGACUGGUGGGUGACAGAGAUUUGUCCUGGCUAUGGGCAAGGCAGGAAAAUGCUAGCUACAACCUUCCAUUAUUUCUCUUGAAAAGUUAGAUUCUUUCCUUCUUGCUACUUUAAAUAGUUUCUUGUCUUUGAUUUUCAGUAAACCAUGACGUGACUAAGUGUGGUUCUCAUUGUAUUUAUUUUACUUAGUAGUUGUAAUCUGUAUUUUGAUAAGUUUUUAAUGGGUUUGAGGAAAUUCUCAACCAGUAUCUCUGCAAAUACUGUUUCUAUCUUUUCCUUCUGCCUUUGAGGGAAUACCCACUUUAAAUCCUGUUCAUAUUGUUAUCCAGUGCCCUCAGUUCAAAAGAUAAUAUCCUGGCCAGGCUUGGUGAGGUGACACACACUUGAAAUCCUAACUCUUGGGAGGUGGAGGUUCUGGAAGGAGCUCAAGGUCAUUCUUCGCUACAAAACCAGUUUGAGGGCACCCUGAACUUCAUGAGACCUUGUUUCGAAACAAAACAGCAACAAAAACCCCAGUGCCCUGCCAGACAGGUAGCUCAUGCCUUGGAGGUUGAGGCAGAAGAACUGCUGGAGUUCAAGAUCAGCCCAUUAUACAUCAAAAUCCUGUGUCAGCACCCCCUCACACACCAAAGGAAAGAGAAACAAUCCUAUUGCUAGGAUUCUGCCCCCACUCCAGCUACAUGACCCCACAUGCACAGUUCAGGAGCUAAGCAAGGGGUCUUAAGUCUUACAUCAUCAGUGUGCGCAGGUGAUUACAUGUGUGCAGCAUGGUGACACAAUCUGCUCAUGCGUGGCGUAGCUCCAUAAGCCCACCUGCACAUGUUCAUGGGAAUCCUUUAAAAAGCUGGACACAGACUCCUCCUCUCUCUUCUCUGUUCUCUCCUCCCCCCACUAUCUCUUCUCUGUCUCUGUCUCUGUCUCUGUCUCUGUCUCUCUCUCCACGUGCUUCUUCCCCAGGCCUGGUUCUUUUGUCGUCCCCCCCCCCCCCCACCUCCUAAUAAAGCUCUGAUACUGAGUUUUGUCAUGGCUCAUGCCUCAUGACCUUUCCGCAUGGUAAACAGUGCCCCUUAACAUUUUUAAAAAACAACAUUGAUGCUGUGACGACACAGGCUCUUCCAGCGCCUGCGUCGGGGCUCUGCGUCCAGGAUCCUGUACGGAGGUUUAUUGGACUUGCGACUGCCCGCUCGGCUUUUUCCAUUUGCCCAGCUGCCUGAUCGCUCUGCAAACCACACUUGAUAACCAGGUUGGUGAGUUUCCUCUUUCUGAUCCCUUGACAUUUCGCGAACUGUAGCCUGAGAUACAUUCCUCGCCCCAGACCCCCAGGGGGUCCUCGGCUGCAUACCACGACACACAUUUUCUCUUGAAGAAGUAUUGAAUGCUGUCUAGACUCCCGGGGAGUCCUCCAGUAUGUAUGCCCCCCCCCAGCCCUUGCCCCUUCCAUGAUGGUUCAGGUAACUUGUGCUGUUAGUGCUGGUCCACAGACUACAUAUCCUCAAGGAACCUUGAGAUAGAAGCCUGGGAUCCUGUUUGUUAUUUUAUUUUAUUUUUUGGUUUUUCGAGACAGGGUUUCUCUGUAACUUUGGAGCCUGUCCUGGAACUCGCUUUGUAGACCAGGCUGGCCUCGAACUCACAGAGAUCCGCCUGGCUCUGCCUUCCGAGUGUUGGGAUUAAAGGCGUGCGCCACCACCGCCCGGCUGUUAUUUUAAUUUUUUGUUUUUUUUUUCUCUCGGCUGCAGUCAUGGGACAUGGAGGCUUCCUCCUCGUGGUUCCACUCCUCUUAAAAAUGCCUUAAAUAUCCCCAGAUAGAUACCAGGAAGUUUGGCCACGUAACAGCUGCUUGAACCCUGAUAUUUCACGGGAAUUAUCUAACUUCUGCCAGCAAAGGGACAAAUGGAAAGAGUUACCUUAUCCCCAUGCUUUUACCUAAGCUCUAAACCCUCCUUUUCUGAUUCUCUCUCCUGCCUAUGUGCAUUCCUGAACCUAAGGAAUCUCUGACUUCAAAGAACCUUACUUUUCUGUUCUUCACUCUGUUCUCCGGUACCAGGUGGGCUGCUAAGCACGGACAGGUCUGGAAGCAGGCUAGGAUGCAUGCAGAUAAGUUUACAAUCAGGACCCACAUGGGGAUCACAAUAAUCUGGAUGGCUCUUUAGCCAGAGAUCAGUUUACAGCCUGCCUCCUGGCAGGUCUUCCUAAAGCUGUCCUCAAGCCACCAAACUAUCAAAAAAAAAAAAAAAUUCAAGACACAGAAUAAAAUCCAUCCCUUGUCUCCCAGAGCUCCCUGACAUUAGGGCUAAAACUUAAGCAUCUGGAGAGCAAGGCUCCUGACCCCACAGGCAGGAGUGUUAGUGGUGGCAUUUAAAGUGUACCAUGGGAGAGAUGAAAAAGCCCAAUAAAGAAACUGCCAAAUGCUGACACAGGCUAUCCAACUGGCUCCCCAAAAGCCACUGGCCCUGUUUUAAGUGUGGGAAAGAAGGCCAUGGGGCUCGAGUUUGCACCACUGCCCCACAGGGGCACCAAUAGGGCCUUGCCCAAAAUGCUGCCAGAAGGGUCACUGGUCAGCUGACUGCCCCAGUGUACCUAGCAGCAUGGGGACAUCAGAUCAGGACCACCCUCCAGCUGACCUCCUAGGCUUAGCCUUCAGCAAUGACUGAAGCUGCCCAGUUCCCAGCCCCGCUACUCCCAUCUCAUACAGGGAACCCAGGGUAGUAAUAAUAAUAUCUGGGCAACCCAUCUCCUUCCUUCUGGACACCGGAGCCACUUACUCAGUCCUGAGGGAGUUUUGGGGUCCCACCUCUCCUCAUUUCCCUAUUGUCGGGGUAGAGGGACAGCCUUACCCACCUCACCAGACUUAAUUGUACUUUCAGGAGUACUUAAUGGGAAAAGAUUUUCCAGCUAAAGUAGGAGCUUUCAUUUCAUUUGCUCCCUCCAUGUGCCUCACUCCAGACCUGUCAGCAGUGCUUCUCCUCCUCGUGCACAGUGACACAGAUAGGGCCCUGAUCUCUCUCAUGUUCCAGAGGACCUCAGGAUCCACUGCCUUGUCCCCAAUUCCAGAAGAAUGAGGUCUUACCCCACAAGCUUUUCUCUUCCUGUUUCCCUCUCCUAAUUAACUACUCAGCUAAUUGUUACAGGAUCACCAUAGCUCUGGAAUCCAAGGACCAUCAAAAAUAUACCCAGGUGGUAAAGGAACAGUAACAGUUAAAAGCUCUAGAAAAUCCACCUGGACAAGUCAGUGAGCUCCGGAACCAGCUUGGAUCCACCUGGACAGCACCCAAAAGCAGCAGACGACCCCAGGACAGCUUGCUACCUCAGAAGCCCCCUUCCCUACCCCCCAAGAGUCAACUGACACCCACCAAGUCAGCUGGAAGUAGUUUUUCUGGGAGAAACGACGCACCUAUUCCUGUUCACCUGCUUUUUCAUAAUAAGCAAAAAGUCCGAAAUGUUAGGAUUCUGCCCCCCACUCCAGGUGCAUGACCGCACAUAUGCAGUUCAGGAGCUAAGCAAGGGGUCUGUGUCUUACGUCAUCAUUGCACACUGGUGAUUAUUUGCACGUGGCAUGGUCAUGCAAUCUGCACAUGUGAGGGGUAGCUUCGUAAGCCUACCUGCGCAUGUUCACGGGAAUCCUUAAAAAGCCGGACACAGACUCCUCCUGUCUCCUCUCUGUUCUUUCCUCCUCCUCUCUCUCUCUCUCUCUCUCUCUCUCUCUCUCUCUCUCUCUCUCUCUCUCUCUCUCUCUCUCUCUCUCUCUCUCUCUCUCUCUCUCUCUCUGCUCUCUGCAUGUGCUUCUUCCCCAGGUCUGGUUCUUUUGUCCCCCCUCCUCCUAAUAAAGCUCUGAUACUGGG